UUUCACGUAUGACCCCUUUAAACCCCAAUUGUUAUGAUGGCCCAUUAUUACAAAAUUAUCACGCACAGAUACUGAGGCGAUAAGAACUCUACAGAGAUACAUAUUUACGUUCCAAUUUUGUACAACUGUGUUGGGUGUUCUCUAUUUGGGUAGAAAAUAGCGGGACGGAGGAGGGUAGGAGACGAAAGAUUGUACUACAGUCCAGCGCCGAUGAGAAACCACAACCAGCAAAAGCUGCACCAACUGAAGUCGAAGUCAAAAUCUUUAUCAUUACCCGAAAGGAGAGGAGUAGGGUCAGGUUUGGAUGACGGAGCUGCUCCAUCAAAAACUAACUUGGAUCGGUUCUUGAAGUACACCACCCCUGCUGUUGUAGCUCAGUGUUACCCUAAGACAAGUGUGAGGGGAUGGAGAAAUCGUGAUAGUGAGUUCCACCCAUACUUCGUACUUGGUGAUCUUUGGGACUCCUUCCGGGAGUGGAGUGUCUAUGGAGCCGAAGUCCCGCUGUUGCUGAACGGGAAUGAUUAUGCUGUCCAAUAUUAUGUGCCACACUGUCUGCUAUGCAACUGUAUGUAGAUCCAUCAAGCUCGUUGAUGGAGAUAAGGAAACCUGGAGAGGGAAGCGAUGCCGAUUCUUCCCUGGAGACAAAUAGUGAUGAAAGCAGUCAUUGUGAACCUGAUAGAGGAGCUAAUAAUACAAGGGGAACUUGGAACCGGCAGAACACCACAGGCCAAGGAUAUCAUCCUGGUCGUCUUAUAUUUAAGCACUUGGAGCAGGAUCUUCAAUUUCUUCGUGAACCAUUAGCUGAUAAGGCAAGCCCUCUCGUCUCCUAGAGCAUUGUACAUCUGUCUUUGGUUUCUGUUAUGUCAAUAUAAAAUCCUUGCAUUUUCUUGAAUUGAUCAGAUUUCUAUCCUCGCAUCUCGCUUUCCUGAACUUAGAACAUAUAGAAGCUGUGAUCUGACUCUUGCAAGCUGGAUUUCUAUUGCUUGGUGUCCCAUAUAUAGGCUACCUGUAGACUCAACUCUGGAAAACAUUGACGCCUGGUUUCUGACUUUCCAUUCCCUUGCCACACCUGUCAGGAGAACCGAUUGGCCACAAUUCCAUGUUUCAACGGUCGAUGAACAGUUGCAGGAUGCAGGCAUUUCCCCGAAGCUCUCAUUACCAACGUUUGGUCUCGCUUCUUGUAAGUUCAAAGUUAAUGAUUGGAAUGCUGGAGGAGUCGAUGAAUGCCAGAAGUUUGACUCUCUUGUGCGAGGUGCUGAUAAAUGGCUUAUGCUGUUGAAAGUUAAUCACCCUGACUACAUUUUUUUCGUGUCGCACAGCUCGUUCUGGAGGUGGAUAUUAAAGCUUUUGAAUUCCGAGCUGCCACUUGCCUUCGAAGAAUAUGCGAGCUCAAAGCAUGGGAUUGAGAGAUGUUAAUAAUGAAUUAUAGAACCUGGGUAACUAGCAUUUAUUUAGUUAUGCUAAUACUACUGUGGUUGAGGAUGGGGUUAGGGACUAGAAUAAUCUGUGGUAGUUGAUAUUCAGCCUAUUUUGCAUCGAGCUGUGUCCCACCCCCAUGUGACAGCCCCUGUACAGGCCCAGACCUGUGCAGGAAGCUUUUUCCUUUUGCAUUUAUAAGUUCAGCCUGUAAUGUUAACUUUUGCAUCUAGAGGUUCAGAAGUUCAGUGUUUA
Long non-coding RNA from Olea europaea var. sylvestris, 1671 nucleotides. RefSeq lists it as uncharacterized. The record is from RefSeq and is a predicted model, not a curated record. The transcript has 5 exons. NCBI's taxonomy places the organism in Eukaryota, Viridiplantae, Streptophyta, Magnoliopsida, Lamiales, Oleaceae.